RNAcentral lists this ribosomal RNA (433 nucleotides) under uncultured bacterium. Its description in RNAcentral is "partial 16S ribosomal RNA". It matches the Rfam family "Bacterial small subunit ribosomal RNA", at positions 29 to 507 of the family's 1533-position model. The record is from RNAcentral.
AACGAACGCUGGCGGCAUGCCUAACACAUGCAAGUCGAACGAGACCUUCGGGACUAGUUGCGCACGGGUGCGUAACGCGUGGGAACCUGCCCUUAGGUUCGGAAUAACUCCCCGAAAGGGGUGCUAAUACCGGAUAAUGUCCUCGGACCAAAGAUUUAUCGCCCUUGGAUGGGCCCGCGUUGGAUUAGCUAGUUGGUAGGGUAAAAGCCUACCAAGGCGACGAUCCAUAGCUGGUCUGAGAGGAUGAUCAGCCACACUGGGACUGGGACACGGCCCAGACUCCUACGGGAGGCAGCAGUGGGGAAUAUUGGACAAUGGGCGAAAGCCUGAUCCAGCAAUGCCGCGUGAGUGAUGAAGGCCUUAGGGUUGUAAAGCUCUUUUACCCGGGAUGAUAAUGACGGUACCGGAAGAAUAAGCACCGGCUAACUCCGUG